CUACGGGAUGCAGCAGUGAGGAAUAUUGCACAAUGGGGGGAACCCUGAUGCAGCAACGCCGCGUGGAGGAUGACGCAUUUCGGUGUGUAAACUCCUUUUAUAUGUCAAGAAAAUGACGGUAGCAUAUGAAUAAGCACCGGCUAACUCCGUGCCAGCAGCCGCGGUAAUACGGAGGGUGCAAGCGUUACUCGGAAUCACUGGGCGUAAAGGACGCGUAGGCGGGUUGGAAAGUCAGGUGUGAAAUCCUACAGCUUAACUGUAGAACUGCACUUGAAACUUCUAAUCUAGAGUAUGGGAGGGGGAGAUGGAAUUAGUGGUGUAGGGGUAAAAUCCGUAGAAAUCACUAGGAAUACCUAAAGCGAAGGCGAUCUCCUGGAACAUUACUGACGCUAAGGCGUGAAAGCGUGGGGAGCAAACAGGAUUAGAUACCCUUGUAGUC
This 439-nucleotide ribosomal RNA is filed under the name uncultured bacterium. Its description in RNAcentral is "partial 16S ribosomal RNA". It matches the Rfam family "Bacterial small subunit ribosomal RNA", at positions 339 to 795 of the family's 1533-position model. The record is from RNAcentral.